Ruditapes philippinarum (Manila clam) is the source of this 296-nucleotide long non-coding RNA. RefSeq lists it as uncharacterized. The transcript is spliced from 3 exons. NCBI's taxonomy places the organism in Eukaryota, Metazoa, Mollusca, Bivalvia, Venerida, Veneridae. The record is from RefSeq and is a predicted model, not a curated record.
CAAUCAAAUUGCAAGCUCAAGUUGUCCACGUGAUUCACGUGACCAAGCAUUUUUAGUCAUAUGACUUCACUUUGUAUUAACACAAGACGGUUCUGCUAGACUGCAAUACCGAAACUACAAGAUGAAGGAAUAUAACUGGUUGCUGCUGGCUACAUUGAUGAUGGGUGUUGUCUCUGCCCAGAAGCUUUUUUUCAAGUCCAACAAACUUAUACAGGAAGAAAUAGAGCAACAUUUACAGAAAGCACAGCCAGUAAAAGGAUUUGGUUUCGGUGAACCAAGACAUUAUUUCACAAGUC